This 414-nucleotide long non-coding RNA is filed under the name Fukomys damarensis (Damara mole-rat). Its description in RNAcentral is "lncRNA (ENSFDAG00000023109.1)". Lineage: Eukaryota; Metazoa; Chordata; Mammalia; Rodentia; Bathyergidae. The record is from RNAcentral.
AGAGGAGCCAGCCCCGAGAAACAUGGCCGGCCAGGUGGGCUCUGCUGCAAGAGGCGUCCCAAGGUAGGCCUGGGACCACGCUCAGCCACAGGCCUCCUGAGAGGAAAGUGUUCAAAUGUGUGCCGGAAGUAGACGUGAAGACAAAACGUCCUGCGUGAUGAGUGAGGACGUCUCUGUGAUUGGCUUGUCUUUUCCUAUGGCUGCUGGGGCCCCCGCGGUGGAUUCUUUUUGGAGCAAGGACCAGCACAGCAGCAGCGAAACACAGCACGACAGAGAGGAGGUGCACAAAUGGGCCUUAGGAUCUGCUGCUCUUACCCGCUCCGGGUGCAGUGGCCCAAAGAGCUAGCCCAGCCUGCUGAUGAUCCUGCCCGAAGCCUCCACCUCGGAAGCCUCACGCAGUUCGAUGUCCUCAUC